This 496-nucleotide ribosomal RNA is filed under the name uncultured bacterium. RNAcentral describes it as "partial 16S ribosomal RNA". It matches the Rfam family "Bacterial small subunit ribosomal RNA", at positions 29 to 507 of the family's 1533-position model. The record is from RNAcentral.
AUGAACGCUGGCGGCGUGCCUAAUACCUGCAAGUCGCGCGAACAGACGAGGAGCUUGCUCCUCUGACGUUAGCGGCGGACGGGUGAGUAACACGUGGAUAACCUACCUAUAAGACUGGGAUAACUUCGGGAAACCGGAGCUAAUACCGGAUAAUAUAUUGAACCGCAUGGUUCCAUAGUGAAAGACGGUUUUGCUGUCACUUAUAGAUGGAUCCGCGCCGCAUUAGCUAGUUGGUAAGGUAACGGCUUACCAAGGCAACGAUGCGUAGCCGACCUGAGAGGGUGAUCGGCCACACUGGAACUGAGACACGGUCCAGACUCCGACGGGAGGCAGCAGUAGGGAAUCUUCCGCAAUGGGCGAGAGCCUGACGGAGCAACGCCGCGUGAGUGAUGAAGGUCUUCGGAUCGUAAAACUCUGUUAUUAGGGAAGAACAAAUGUGUAAGUAACUAUGCACGUCUUGACGGUACCUAAUCAGAAAGCCACGGCUAACUACGUG